This is a long non-coding RNA of Daphnia pulex (common water flea), 329 nucleotides long. RefSeq lists it as uncharacterized. The transcript is spliced from 2 exons. NCBI's taxonomy places the organism in Eukaryota, Metazoa, Arthropoda, Branchiopoda, Diplostraca, Daphniidae. The record is from RefSeq and is a predicted model, not a curated record.
AGGUCUGAGCCAGACAUCGUAACAACAAAGUUUGCUUGUGCUGGACCUCUUGUCAUGUGAUUUGACCGAUGAACUCCUGUCAUCAGCAGCAAUCACAGUAGCCUAUCAUCCCUUAGAUAAACAGCAUCCCUGUGGAUUGGAGAAACUGCCAGUGUCGACCGAGUUAAGGAUCUCUUCAAUUCCUCUUUCUUUAAAUGUCCUCGUGUACGCCCAUGCGAGUGUGGGUGUAUUCACGAGGACUCCCUUUUUCCUAUCCCGGCUGGUGGAUUCAAUUUUCCUGCGAAUGGAGCAACUGUAGAGAUGCCUGGCUGUAUUUCCCAGGCAUAAAG